CUCAGAUGUAGGGGAGAAGGGGAGCCAGCUGGCUGCGGGACAGAAACAACGUCUGGCCAUUGCCCGGGCCCUUGUACGAGACCCGCGGGUCCUCAUCCUGGAUGAGGCUACUAGUGCCCUAGAUGUGCAGUGCGAGCAGGCCCUGCAGGACUGGAAUUCCCGUGGGGAUCGCACAGUGCUGGUGAUUGCUCACAGGCUGCAGACAGUUCAGCGCGCCCACCAGAUCCUGGUGCUCCAGGAGGGCAAGCUGCAGAAGCUUGCCCAGCUCCAGGAGGGACAGGACCUCUAUUCCCGCCUGGUGCAGCAGCGGCUGAUGGACUGAGGCCCCAGGGAUACUGGGCCCUCUUCUCAGGGGCGUCUCCAGGACCCAGAGCUGUUCCUGCUUUGAGUUUCCCUAGAGCUGUGCGGCCAGAUAGCUAUUCCUGAGUUGCAGGCACGAUGGAGAUUUGGACACUGUGUGCUUUUGGUGGGGUGGAGAGGUGGGGUGGGGUGGGGUGUGGUGGGGUGGAGGCUGUCUGUGUCCAGGAAACUUAACUCCCUGGUGACUAGAGCUUUGCCUGGUGAUGAGGAGUAUUUUGUGGCAUAAUACAUAUAUUUUAAAAUAUUUUCCUUCUUACAUGAACUGUAUACAUUCAUAUAGAAAAUUUAGACAAUAUAAAAAAGUACAAAGAAGAAAAGUAAAAGUACCCAUUGUUUCACUUCCUGGAGAUAACCAUAGUUUGCUGUUUUGCUGCCUGUCCCAUCAGUCGUUUAUCUGUUGUUUGAGAUAGAAAUUAACCAAAAAUGACAUAAAUAUUCAUGAGAUUGCCUUCCUAUAUCCUUCCUUGUUCCUACCAGUGUCUGCUAUUUUGAAGAAGCUAGGGUCUGGAGGGACAGAGAACAGUUCCCUGAUUAACAGUGUUAAUAACGACAUUGGUAACAGCUACCAUUUAUAGAGUUUUAAUGUGAGUAGGAGCUAUGCUAAGUGUUUUUCAUGUAUUAUCGUUUUUAAUCAUUAUCCCCAACCCUAUGAGGUUGGUUAUUAUCCCCAUUUUACAGAUGAGGAAACUGAAGCUCAAAGAGGCUCAAUGACUUUCCUAAGGUGGUCGAAGUGGUGGAGUUGGAGUUUGAACACAGGUCUGACCCUAGAGUCCACACCCUGACCCAAUCAGUUAUAUUGCAUCUUGGGUCCAUAAACCCUAAUCCAUAAUCCCAUCAAGAAAAGCUCUGCUGCAUUUAGCUCUAAAUAAUUCUGAAUCUAUUCUCUUCUCUCUAGUCCCGUUGUUAUAGUCUUCACUCAUAGACUUAAGAUGAUCCCAUCACCAGAGAGGUUUAUCUACCAUUAGCUUCCCUCUUCCGGCCAUUCUUCACAAAGUCAUUUUUCUAAAUUCUGUGUCACAUACGAUGAUGGCAUUUCUGGAAAUUCCUUCAGGUGCUCUCAAGCCCUGCUGCAGAGAUCCUUUUCAGAGCACACACUGUUCCAGCCCAUCUGUCUCACCCUUUCCUGUUGUAUCCAGCUCCACAACAAACUUCUGCCUUCCCCAACACCUUUGUGCCUUUGCAUAUGGUGUUUUCUUGUCCAUUUUCUGCUCGACUCGCCCCUGAUUUUCAAGUUCAAGACAACUCAGAGUUCAGGUCUUCCAGGAGGCCUUACUUAUGUCGUCAGUCUGGGGAACUCUCCAUGUGCUUCUAUCACUGUGCAGUUACCUCUUUCACAGCCCUUUUAAAGUUCUAUCUUCCCUUUCCCACCUUUCUUUCUUUUUUUUUUUUUUUUUUUUUGAGACGGAGUCUCGCUGUGUCUCCCAGGUUGGAGUGCAGUGGCGCGAUCUCGGCUCACUGCAAGCUCCGCCUCCCGGGUUCACGCUUUCCCACCUUUCUUGACCUUCCACUAGACCAUGAGCACCUGGGCGGAAAGCCAUAUAUCUUACUAAGCUUUAUAUCUGCUACCUGGCCGCAGGCCUAAUUCAUAGUGGAGAAUAAAUAAAAAGUCCAUUGAAUAAAUGAAUAAAUAUCUCCUCCAUCGUACUAAUCUUAAUCCUCCCUGCCCACUCCCACCACUGAAAAUGCAACAUUGUACACAUCACUGGUUGUUGGGAGGGACUUACCUUGGAAAGUUGCUAUUCUAGGAAAGAGAAACCUUCAUAUUCCCGGAAACAGCAGGUACUUUCCAGUGCUGGCAAUGAAUUCCCCAGAACUGCUGUUUUGGAUUUUUUCUUGCCUGGCAGCUGUUGGGAGCAGGGUGCAGUGAGGAUGGGGUGAGCGUGGGCAGUUUCUUGUGCAGAUUUGCCUUUCUUUCAUCCUGGGGCUGACUGGCAGCUCCACACCCAUCCAUCUCUCAAAUUUCACAGAGGGUAAAAUAGGCAUUUGGAGAGAAAGAACUCUGGCCUGAUUCCUUUCUCUCCCACAAAUGUCCUUUAUUCAUAAAACAGGAAUAAUAAUUCCUGUAUCUCCCAACUACAUGGAAGCUGCCGCCCUCACAGAAGAAGAUGAUCUGAGAAAUUCUUUGAUUUCCUCAGUACAGUUACACCCAUGCAUCAUAAUACUUUAAGCCUGGAAGGCAUCUUAAAAAUAAUGCAACAGUCAAACCUAAUUUUACAGAGAAACUGACAUGAAAUCACGGAGCUAAUCAUGAUAAAGCUGGGUGGAAAACUUAUCUUGAUGGGCAGCACAGGAAGAUGCAGUAGACCUUAAGAUGUCCUGAAAGUUUCUUAUCUCAGGGGAAACUCCCAGGUAGGCUUUAUGUCAGGGACACAGAAAAAUGCUCCCUGAAAGUCAAAAUAUUCGGGCUAGACAGACAAAUUCCUGUAAGUGUGGUUUGUCUGGGAACCACAGAUGUCACUAAUCCUGGUUUGCUCCAGAGUUCUUUUUGUUCACUCCUACACCCCCAUCACCAUUUGAUUGAUCUCCUUACCCUGUAAUUUCCCCUUCUUGUCGCUUACCUGCAGUAUCUUUCCCACCCAGGCAUGCCUUAUUCUUUCUAAAGGAAAGUAUGAAUGGAGAGGGGAAAGCUUGGGAAACUGAUAGAUUUCCUUGGAUGCCAAAACAACUCCAUAGCCUGUCUGCCCGGCCCUAUGUGGAAACAGCAUUGAGUUUCAAGUCCUUUAUGCCUCCACCCAGGGAUAGCCACUUGGAAUCCACAUGGCAAUUGUGAAACGAGCAGGGAAUGCGUAAUUGUCAGAAUUUUGUGGGGAAAGGACUAGGGAAUAAGGAAAACAAAGAUCUUCCUUGUGUUUUAGAGCUGUCAGCUAGAGGAGCACCUGCUUGAGUCUGAUGCCAUCUAAUGGUCCCAGAAGAUACUGGGUUUUGAACCUAGAGUUCCAUGGACUCUUAGGAAUUAUACUACUACUACUAAGCAUUCACUGGUGCUUACUAUGUGCUAUUGCUGUGCCAAGUAUCUGAAACAUGUCUUCUUACCUUAUUUUUCAAGAUAAUUCUAUGUGGCAGGUAUUACUAUCUCAAUUCUAAGAGUGAGAAAAUGGAGUUUUAGAAACAUUUACUAACUUGCCUGGGUCACAUAGCUAAGGAAGAGGUGGACUUGCCCAGCUUUGCAUAAAACUCCUCAAAAGAGUUGCCUAUACUCCCUG
RNAcentral lists this long non-coding RNA (3563 nucleotides) under Pan troglodytes (chimpanzee). Its description in RNAcentral is "long non-coding RNA NONPTRT015099". Lineage: Eukaryota; Metazoa; Chordata; Mammalia; Primates; Hominidae. The record is from RNAcentral.